AUUGAACGCUGGCGGCAGGCCUAACACAUGCAAGUCGAGCGGAUGAAGGGAGCUUGCUCCUGGAUUCAGCGGCGGACGGGUGAGUAAUGCCUAGGAAUCUGCCUGGUAGUGGGGGAUAACGUCCGGAAACGGGCGCUAAUGCCGCAUACGUCCUGAGGGAGAAAGUGGGGGAUCUUCGGACCUCACGCUAUCAGAUGAGCCUAGGUCGGAUUAGCUAGUUGGUGGGGUAAAGGCCUACCAAGGCGACGAUCCGUAACUGGUCUGAGAGGAUGAUCAGUCACGCUGGAACUGAGACACGGUCCAGACUCCUACGGGAGGCAGCAGUGGGGAAUAUUGGACAAUGGGCGAAAGCCUGAUCCAGCCAUGCCGCGUGUGUGAAGAAGGUCUUCGGAUUGUAAAGCACUUUAAGUUGGGAGGAAGGGCAGUAAGUUAAUACCUUGCUGUUUUGACGUUACCAACAGAAUAAGCACCGGCUAACUUCGUG
This 484-nucleotide ribosomal RNA is filed under the name uncultured bacterium. RNAcentral's name for it is "partial 16S ribosomal RNA". It matches the Rfam family "Bacterial small subunit ribosomal RNA", at positions 30 to 507 of the family's 1533-position model. The record is from RNAcentral.